ACACUUACCUGGCAGGGGAGAUACCAGGAACACAAAGGUGUUACAGUUUUCCCAGGGCCAGCUCACCCAUUGCACUGCGGAUCUGCUCACCCCUGCGAUUUCCCCAGAUGUGGGAAACUCCGCUCUAUAAUUGGGGGUAGAGGGGCAUGUUGGUGCUUUCCCCUG
Molecule: small nuclear RNA, 165 nt
Organism: Prolemur simus (greater bamboo lemur)
Lineage: Eukaryota; Metazoa; Chordata; Mammalia; Primates; Lemuridae
Gene: U1
Rfam family: U1 spliceosomal RNA
About the family: U1 is a small nuclear RNA (snRNA) component of the spliceosome (involved in pre-mRNA splicing). Its 5' end forms complementary base pairs with the 5' splice junction, thus defining the 5' donor site of an intron.
Source: Ensembl